Molecule: ribosomal RNA, 478 nt
Filed under: uncultured bacterium
Lineage: Bacteria
Description: partial 16S ribosomal RNA
Rfam family: Bacterial small subunit ribosomal RNA
Source: RNAcentral
GACGAACGCUGGUGGCGUGCUUAACACAUGCAAGUCGAACGGUAAGGCCCUUCGGGGUACACGAGUGGCGAACGGGUGAGUAACACGUGGGUGAUCUGCCCUGCACUUCGGGAUAAGACUGGGAAACUGGGUCUAAUACCGGAUAGGACCACUGCCUGCAUGGGUGGUGGUGGAAAGCUUUUGCGGUGUGGGAUGGGCCCGCGGCCUAUCAGCUUGUUGGUGGGGUGACGGCCUACCGAGGCGACGACGGGUAGCCGGCCUGAGAGGGUGACCGGCCACACUGGGACUGAGAUACGGCCCAGACUCCUACGGGAGGCAGCAGUGGGGAAUAUUGCACAAUGGGCGCAAGCCUGAUGCAGCGACGCCGCGUGAGGGAUGACGGCCUUCGGGUUGUAAACCUCUUUCAGCACCGACGAAGCGCAAGUGACGGUAGGUGCAGAAGAAGGACCGGCCAACUACGUGCCAGCAGCCGCAGUAA